This 497-nucleotide ribosomal RNA is filed under the name uncultured bacterium. Its description in RNAcentral is "partial 16S ribosomal RNA". It matches the Rfam family "Bacterial small subunit ribosomal RNA", at positions 28 to 507 of the family's 1533-position model. The record is from RNAcentral.
GAUGAACGCUGGCGGCGUGCCUAAUACAUGCAAGUCGAGCGAACAGACGAGGAGCUUGCUCCUCUGACGUUAGCGGCGGACGGGUGAGUAACACGUGGAUAACCUACCUAUAAGACUGGUAUAACUUCGGGAAACCGGAGCUAAUACCGGAUAAUAUAUUGAACCGCAUGGUUCAAUAGUGAAAGACGGUUUUGCUGUCACUUAUAGAUGGAUCCGCGCCGCAUUAGCUAGUUGGUAAGGUAACGGCUUACCAAGGCAACGAUGCGUAGCCGACCUGAGAGGGUGAUCGGCCACACUGGAACUGAGACACGGUCCAGACUCCUACGGGAGGCAGCAGUAGGGAAUCUUCCGCAAUGGGCGAAAGCUUGCCGGAGCAACGCCGCGUGAGUGAUGAAGGUCUUCGGAUCGUAAAACUCUGUUAUUAGGGAAGAACAAAUGUGUAAGUAACUAUGCACGUCUUGACGGUACCUAAUCAGAAAGCCACGGCUAACUACGUG